CUUUGAUCAUUGUUGAAGGCCGUACGGUGACCUAUAAUUGUUAAUUUCUGUGUCAUUUUGACCUCUUGUGGAGAGUUGUCUCUUUAGCAGUCAUACCACAUCUUCUUUUUUAUAAGUAGUCGAACUGCUGUAUCACUAGCAUGUCAACACUUAGGUGUGCGAUUUCAAAUCCCGCACGUGGCAGGUAAGCUCGAUUCCAAUCUUAAUUGACCAGAAUUGUCUGUUUUCCAAACGAAGGUCAGGGGGUCUCUCCGGGCACUUCUGCUUUCUCCACCAAUAUAAACUCACCGCCACGAAAUAGCAUGAAAGUGUUGAAAGUGGCGCUAAAUAACAGUCAAUCAAUCAUCCAUACCGGUAUACUUAUGGCCUCUAAAUCUAUAUAUUUAGUCUCACAAAGUCAAUGUAUGACAUCAGUAUACAGAGAUAAAAAUAAUAACUAUUUACAGUAUAUACAAAACAAGAGAGAGAGGUUUCAAAAUUACUAAGCCAGCUGGAGGACAAACGCAC
This 507-nucleotide long non-coding RNA is filed under the name Mytilus galloprovincialis (Mediterranean mussel). The record is from RNAcentral. Lineage: Eukaryota; Metazoa; Mollusca; Bivalvia; Mytilida; Mytilidae.